AGAGUUUGAUCAUGGCUCAGAUUGAACGCUGGCGGCAUGCCUUACACAUGCAAGUCGAACGGCAGCACGGGCUUCGGUCUGGUGGCGAGUGGCGAACGGGUGAGUAAUGUAUCGGAACGUACCUUUCAGUGGGGGAUAACGUAGCGAAAGUUACGCUAAUACCGCAUAUUCUGUGAGCAGGAAAGCAGGGGAUCGCAAGACCUUGCGCUGAUUGAGCGGCCGAUAUCAGAUUAGCUAGUUGGUGGGGUAAAGGCCUACCAAGGCUACGAUCUGUAGCGGGUCUGAGAGGAUGAUCCGCCACACUGGAACUGAGACACGGUCCAGACUCCUACGGGAGGCAGCAGUGGGGAAUAUUGGACAAUGGGGGCAACCCUGAUCCAGCCAUGCCGCGUGAGUGAAGAAGGCCUUCGGGUUGUAAAGCUCUUUCGGCCGGGAAGAAAUCGCAUAGGUUAAUACCCUGUGUGGAUGACGGUACCGGAAUAAGAAGCACCGGCUAACUACGUGCCAGCAGCCGCGGUAAUACGUAGGGUGCGAGCGUUAAUCGGAAUUACUGGGCGUAAAGCGUGCGCAGGCGGUUUCGUAAGACAGAGGUGAAAUCCCCGGGCUCAACCUGGGAACUGCCUUUGUGACUGCGAAGCUAGAGUACGGCAGAGGGGGGUGGAAUUCCACGUGUAGCAGUGAAAUGCGUAGAGAUGUGGAGGAACACCGAUGGCGAAGGCAGCCCCCUGGGCCGAUACUGACGCUCAUGCACGAAAGCGUGGGUAGCAAACAGGAUUAGAUACCCUGGUAGUCC
Molecule: ribosomal RNA, 793 nt
Filed under: uncultured bacterium
Lineage: Bacteria
Description: bacterial SSU rRNA
Rfam family: Bacterial small subunit ribosomal RNA
Source: RNAcentral